UACGUAGGGGGCGAGCGUUGUCCGGAAUUAUUGGGCGUAAAGAGCUCGUAGGCGGUCUGUCGCGUCGGCUGUGAAAACCCGAGGCUCAACCUCGGGCCUGCAGUCGAUACGGGCAGACUAGAGUGCUGUAGGGGAGACUGGAAUUCCUGGUGUAGCGGUGAAAUGCGCAGAUAUCAGGAGGAACACCGGUGGCGAAGGCGGGUCUCUGGGCAGUAACUGACGCUGAGGAGCGAAAGCGUGGGGAGCAAACAGG
Molecule: ribosomal RNA, 253 nt
Filed under: uncultured bacterium
Lineage: Bacteria
Description: partial 16S ribosomal RNA
Rfam family: Bacterial small subunit ribosomal RNA
Source: RNAcentral